Small nuclear RNA from Pelodiscus sinensis (Chinese soft-shelled turtle), 163 nucleotides. Its record names the gene U1. It matches the Rfam family "U1 spliceosomal RNA". From Rfam's summary of the family: U1 is a small nuclear RNA (snRNA) component of the spliceosome (involved in pre-mRNA splicing). NCBI's taxonomy places the organism in Eukaryota, Metazoa, Chordata, Testudines, Trionychidae. The record is from Ensembl.
AAUCCUGCCUGGCAGAGGAAAUACCAUGUUCAGGAAAGUGGGUUUCCCAGGGUGAGGCACAUCCAUUGCACUGUGGGUGUGCUGACCCCUGUGAUUUCUCCGAAAGGAGACACUCGACUGCACAAUCUAUGGUAGUGGGGGACUGUGUGAGGAUUUUCCCCUG